Molecule: ribosomal RNA, 460 nt
Filed under: uncultured bacterium
Lineage: Bacteria
Description: partial 16S ribosomal RNA
Rfam family: Bacterial small subunit ribosomal RNA
Source: RNAcentral
CCUACGGGAGGCAGCAGUGAGGAAUAUUGGUCAAUGGACGAGAGUCUGAACCAGCCAAGUAGCGUGAAGGAUGAAUGCCCUCUGGGUUGUAAACUUCUUUUAUAAAGGAAUAAAACGAGGCACGUGUGCCUUUUUGCAUGUACUUUAUGAAUAAGGAUAGGCUAACUCCGUGCCCGCAGCCGCGGUAAUACGGAGGAUCAGAGCGUUAUCCGGAUUUAUUGGGUUUAAAGGGAGCGUAGAUGGGUUGUUAAGUCAGUUGUGAAAGUUUGCGGCUCAACCGUAAAAUUGCAAUUGAUACUGGCAGUUGUGAGUACAGUUGAGGAAGGCGGAAUGCGUGGUGUAGCGGUGAAAGGCUUAGAUAUCACGAAGAACCCCGAUUGCGAAGGCAGCUUACUAAACUGUGACUGACAUUGAUGCUCGAAAGUGUGGGUAUCAAACAGGAUUAGAUACCCCAGUAGUC